Long non-coding RNA from Perognathus longimembris pacificus (Pacific pocket mouse), 309 nucleotides. RefSeq lists it as uncharacterized. The transcript has 3 exons. The record is from RefSeq and is a predicted model, not a curated record. Lineage: Eukaryota; Metazoa; Chordata; Mammalia; Rodentia; Heteromyidae.
AGGGAGGAAUGAAUCAGUAUCUAGCCAGGCAUGAUGGCAUAUCUUUAUAAUCUCAGUACUUAGAAGGUGCAGGCAAGAGGACCAUGAGUUCAACUCCAGCCUGGGCUACACAGUAAAUACAAGGCCAAAAACCCUGCUUAGGGAUAUAACUGAGCAGGAAAGCAUUUCCCUAGUCUGUAAUAGGCCCUGGUAUGAUUUCUAGAAUCACAAAAUAUAACAAAGAAAUGGUAUUGUUUUUCUUUAAUAGUUGUACUAAGGGGUUUUGAUUCAACAAGUCACAGAAUGAUCAAUAUAUCUUUGAUGUGUUUG